Molecule: small RNA, 2384 nt
Filed under: Pongo abelii (Sumatran orangutan)
Lineage: Eukaryota; Metazoa; Chordata; Mammalia; Primates; Hominidae
Description: retained intron
Source: RNAcentral
UUAUACUGCCAGCAUAAUAUUGGUAUAAAAGACACAUAGACCAAUGGAAAAGAAUAGAAAACCCAGAAAAAAUUCACUUAUUUACAGCCAACUGAUUUUUGACAAAGGUGCCAAGAACAUAAACUGGGGAAAGGACACUCUUCAAUAAAUGGUGCUGGGAAAAUUGGAUAUCCAUAUGGCAAAAGAAUGAAACUGCACCCCUAUUCUUACCAUAUACAAAAAUCAACUUGAAGAAUAAAGACUUAAAUGUAAGACCCCAAACUAUAAAACCACUAAAAACACAGAAGAAACAGUCCAGGACAUUGGUCUAGGCAAACAUUUUACGGCUAAGACCUCAAAAGCACAGAUAACAACCAAAAUAAACAAAUGAGACUAUAUUAAACUACAAAGCUUCUACACAACAAAUCAACAGAGUAAAGAAACAACAGGGAAUAUGAGAAAAUAUUAAUAUCUGCAAACUAUUCAUCCAAAAAGGGACUAAUAUCCAGAAUAUACAAGGAACUCAAAUAACAGUAAAAAAAAAAAAAUCCCAUUAUAAAGUAGACAAAAGACAUGAAUAGACAUUUCUCAAAAGAUGACAUACAAAUCGCCAACAGGUAUAUGAAAAAAUGCUCAACAUCAUUAAUCAACAGGGAAAUGCAAAUCAAAACCACAAUGAGACAUCAUCUUAUUCCAGUUAGAAUAGUUAUUAAAAAAAUAAAAGCAUGCUGGAAAGGAUUAGGAGAAAAGUGAACUUUUAUAUACUGUUGACGGGAAUGUAAAUUAAUGCAGCCAUUAUGGAAAAAAGUAUGGAGACUCCUCAAAAUAUUUUUUAAAAACUAUAUGAUCCAGAAAUGCCACUUCUAGGUAUAUAUGCAAAGGAAAUCAAAUCAGUACAUUGAAGAGAUAUCUGUACUCCCCUGUUCACUGUGGCAUUAUUAACAAUAGCCAAGAUACAAAAUCAUCUAAGUGUCCAUCAAUAGAUUAAUGGAUAAACAAAAUGUAGUAUAUGUGAAUCCAGUGUGUAUACAUACCCACACAAAAUGGAAUAUUCCACCUUAAGAAAAUCCAGUCAUUUUUGACAACAUGUAUGGAACUGGAUGUUACUAUGUUAAAUGAAAUAAGCCAGGCACAGAAAAACAAAUAUCGCAUGUUCUCACUCGUGUGGGAUCAAAAAAGUUGAUGUCAUGGAGGUAGACAGUAGAAUGAUAGACACCAAAGGCUGGGAAGGGUGGCAGGGUUUGGGGAGAGAAAGAGAGGUUGGUUAACGGGUAGUAACAUACAAUUAGAUAGAAGGAAUAAGUUCUAAUGUUCUAUAGCAGAGUAGGGUGACUACAGUUAACAACUAUGUCGUGUAUAUUUCAAAACAGCUAGAAGAGAGGACUUAAAAUGUUCCCAACACAGAAAUGAUAAAUACUUGAGGUGGACAUCCCAAAUACUUGAUCAUCACACAGUCUAUGCAUAUAACAAAAUAUCACAUGUACCCUGUAUAUAUGUACAAAUAUUAUGUAUCAAUAAAAUUUUUACAAAGACUUCCAGAAUAUUAGCUACAUACUAGCUUGGUAGGACUAUAAUAAUGAGUAUGGCAGUUUUAAUGGUGAACCAAAAAAUUGUUUAUUUUUUUCUGUAUAUUACAUAAUAGAGUCAAGUAUUAGGAAUGGUUAAUUUAUAAACAUGAUGCUAAUUUCCUGAUUUUUUAAUAUCCUGUAAAACAAUGUCUUGUUUUUAAAUUUCAGGCAGCAAUUCGUAAAGAAUUAAAUGAGUACAAAAGUAAUGAAAUGGAGGUACAUGCAUCAAGCAAGCACUUGACAAGAUUCCACAGGCCAUAGAGAUUUUCUUCUGAGAAGAAUUUGUGUUUAAUUUUUUGAUACCAACACUGAACAUUCAUCAGGGAACUUUCCUGAAGUUCAGCUCAAGACUACCUGCUGUGUUUGUGAGAAGAGCAGGAUCACACACACAGGUGCAAUCUUGACCACACUUACCUGCAAGAGGAGUAACCAGAGGACACACUUCCUUCCUUCCUUUGGUGUCUGAGGAGUGUGAACUGUUGGGGUCAGUUAAGACCCAACAUAACUCUAUCAGAAGAAAACUGUUGUUUGCCUUUCAACCUUGUUUUACAGUUCUGCAGUGUAAUGGAGGACGGGCAACGUGCAUGUGCAGGCUCACCACUCCCAGGCCUCUGACAUGAGGGACAUGUGACAGUGUCAUUCAGUAUUAUGUUCAAAAGACAUUUUUAUCCUGAUCAUAAUUAAUUUGAAAACCUUUAAGUUCAUGUUAUACAAAAUGAUUUACUGUAUUAUACUUUUCCUUUUUUAUAUAAUGUCUAACAAAAAAUACAGCUGCAACAUUUUGAUUCCUGUUAAUUUUGUUCUUUAAUUAAAUGACUACUUAUUGCAGGAAAUUAA